Molecule: ribosomal RNA, 590 nt
Filed under: uncultured bacterium
Lineage: Bacteria
Description: bacterial SSU rRNA
Rfam family: Bacterial small subunit ribosomal RNA
Source: RNAcentral
CGCUGAAAGAUGGGCUCGCGUCCGAUUAGGUAGUUGGCGGGGUAACGGUCCACCAAGCCGACGAUCGGUAGCCGGACUGAGAGGUUGAACGGCCACAUUGGGACUGAGACACGGCCCAGACUCCUACGGGAGGCAGCAGUGAGGGAUAUUGGUCAAUGGGGGAAACCCUGAACCAGCAACGCCGCGUGAGGGAAGACGGUUUUCGGAUUGUAAACCUCUGUCCUCUGUGAAGAUAAUGACGGUAGCAGAGGAGGAAGCUCCGGCUAACUACGUGCCAGCAGCCGCGGUAAUACGUAGGGAGCAAGCGUUGUCCGGAUUUACUGGGUGUAAAGGGUGCGUAGGCGGCCUUGCAAGUCAGAAGUGAAAUCUAUGGGCUUAACCCAUAAACUGCUUUUGAAACUGUAAGUCUUGAGUGAAGUAGAGGUAGGCGGAAUUCCCGGUGUAGCGGUGAAAUGCGUAGAGAUCGGGAGGAACACCAGUGGCGAAGGCGGCCUACUGGGCUUUAACUGACGCUGAGGCACGAAAGCGUGGGUAGCAAACAGGAUUAGAUACCCUGGUAGUCCACGCUGUAAACGAUGAUUACUAGGUGU